UUGGAGGGCAAGUCUGGUGCCCGCAGCCGCGGUGAUUCCAGCUCCAAUAGCGUAUAUUAAAGUUGUUGCAGUUAAAAAGCUCGUAGUUGAAUUUCGGGAUUGACGUGAUGGUCAUGCCUUAAGGGGUAUGAACUGUCACUGUUGAUUUCUCACCUUCUGGAGAAACUUGAUGUCCUUUAUUGGGUGUCUUGCGGAUCCAGGACCUUUACCUUGAAAAAAUUAGAGUGUUUAAAGCAGGCAUUUUUGCCCGAAUACAUUAGCAUGGAAUAAUAGAAUAGGACGGCAUGGUUCUAUUUUGUCGGUUUCUAGGAUCACCGUAAUGAUUAAUAGGGAUAGAUGGGGGCAUUAGUAUUCAAUUGUCAGAGGUGAAAUUCUUGGAUUUAUUGAAGACUAACUACUGCGAAAGCAUUUGCCAAGGAUGUUUUCAUUAAUCAAGAACGAAAGUUAGGGGAUCGAAGACGAUCAGAUACCGUCGUAGUCUUAACCAUAAACUAUGCCGACUAGGAAUCAGACGAUGUUAAUUUUUUAAUGACUCGUUUGGCACCCUACGGGAAACCAAAGUGUUUGGGUUC
RNAcentral lists this ribosomal RNA (572 nucleotides) under uncultured Glomeromycotina. RNAcentral's name for it is "SSU rRNA". It matches the Rfam family "Eukaryotic small subunit ribosomal RNA", at positions 548 to 1114 of the family's 1831-position model. The record is from RNAcentral. Lineage: Eukaryota; Fungi; Glomeromycota.